UUGACCUCGGAUCAGGUAGGAAUACCCGGUGAACUUAAGCAUAUCAAU
This 48-nucleotide ribosomal RNA is filed under the name Phomopsis sp. CML 1936. RNAcentral's name for it is "partial 28S ribosomal RNA". The record is from RNAcentral. Lineage: Eukaryota; Fungi; Ascomycota; Sordariomycetes; Diaporthales; Diaporthaceae.